AUGAUUUAUUAGAUAAAAACCAAUACAUGCUUUUAAGUAUGGAAUUUGGUGAUUUACAAUAACUUAGCAAAUCGCAUAGUGAAAACAGGCAUAAAUCAUUCAAGUUUCUGACCUAUCAGCUUUCGACGGUAUGGUAUUGGCUUACCGUGGCAGUGACGGUUAACGGGGAUUAGGGUUCGAUUCCGGAGAGGGAGCCUGAGAAACGGCUACCACAUCUAAGGAAGGCAGCAGGCGCGAAAUUACCCAAUUCUAACAGCAUAAGAGAGGUAGUGACAAGAAAUAACAAUACAAGGCAGUUAAAAUGCUUUGUAUUGGAAUGAUAGAAAUUUAAACACUUUUUAAAGUAUCAAUUGGAGGGCAAGUCUGGUGCCAGCAGCCGCGGUAAUCCAGCUCCAAUAGCGUAUAUUAAAAUUGUUGCAGUUAAAAAGCUCGUAGUUGAAUUUCUGCUAAAAAUAACCGGUUGCUUUUAAUAAAGGUGGUAUCUUGGUGUGUUUUUAGCAAUAAUGUCCUUUGAAAUGUUUUUUACUUCAUUGUAAAAAUUAUUUUCAGGAUUUUUACUUUGAGAAAAUUAGAGUGUUUCUAGCAGGCUAACGCUUUGAAUACUGCAGCUGAAAAAAAAAAG
Molecule: ribosomal RNA, 622 nt
Filed under: Hepatozoon felis
Lineage: Eukaryota; Apicomplexa; Hepatozoidae
Description: partial 18S ribosomal RNA
Rfam family: Eukaryotic small subunit ribosomal RNA
Source: RNAcentral